GUGCUCACUUUGGCAGCACAUUUACUAAAAUCGCAAUGACAUAGAGCAGAUUAGCAUGGCCCCUGCACAAGAAAGACACAAAGAUUUGUGAAGCAUUUCCUAUUUUU
RNAcentral lists this small nuclear RNA (107 nucleotides) under Dasypus novemcinctus (nine-banded armadillo). Lineage: Eukaryota; Metazoa; Chordata; Mammalia; Cingulata; Dasypodidae. The record is from RNAcentral.